UACGGAGGGCGCAAGCGUUGUUCGGAAUUACUGGGCGUAAAGCGCGUGUAGGCGGCCAGGUAAGUCGGAUGUGAAAGCCCGGGGCCCAACCCCGGAACUGCACCCGAUACUGCCUGGCUGGAGUCCCGGAGAGGAUGGCGGAAUUUCCGGUGUAGAGGUGAAAUUCGUAGAUAUCGGAAGGAACACCAGUGGCGAAGGCGGCCAUCUGGACGGUGACUGACGCUGAGACGCGAAAGCGUGGGGAGCAAACAGGAUUAGAUACCCUGGUAGUCCACGCCGUAAACGUUGGGUGCUAGACGUCGGGGGUAUUGACCCCUCCGGUGUCGAAGCUAACGCAUUAAGCACCCCGCCUGGGGAGUACGGCCGCAAGGCUAAA
Molecule: ribosomal RNA, 376 nt
Filed under: uncultured bacterium
Lineage: Bacteria
Description: bacterial SSU rRNA
Rfam family: Bacterial small subunit ribosomal RNA
Source: RNAcentral